Sciurus carolinensis (gray squirrel) is the source of this 103-nucleotide small nuclear RNA. NCBI's taxonomy places the organism in Eukaryota, Metazoa, Chordata, Mammalia, Rodentia, Sciuridae. The record is from RefSeq and is a predicted model, not a curated record.
UUGCUUUGGCAGCAAAUGUACUAAAAUGGGAAUGAUGCAGAGAAGAUUAGCACAGCCCCUGCACAAGGAUGACAUGCAAAUUCAUGAAGCAUUCCAUAUUUUU